This 1315-nucleotide long non-coding RNA is filed under the name Nicotiana tabacum (common tobacco). Its description in RNAcentral is "long non-coding RNA (NTAB_LNC011800)". Lineage: Eukaryota; Viridiplantae; Streptophyta; Magnoliopsida; Solanales; Solanaceae. The record is from RNAcentral.
AAAGAAAAGAAAAGGCUGAAAGAAAUGUGCUCUAUAUAACAAAUGACCCUCUGCACAUUUUCAGCAUUCAUAUCCAUCUCUGAAAAUUCACAUCACUUGUUCAUAUGCAUACACUCUUACCCACAACUCUCUCACACACACACAAAAGAGCUCACUCACAGUCAAAAACAACUAAAAACCAUUUCUUGAAUUCAAAUUUGAGAUCUCAGAUCUAAAGUUCAAAAAUUCAAAACACAAACAAAGAAAAACAAAAGAAAAAAUAAGAUUCAGGAGGAUUUCGAAAGUGAAUUUAAUGUUGUUGAUUUAAUCCACUUUUUCUGGGUUCUAGAAGAUUAAUUACUCUGGAAAUGUUGUUUUGGCUGCUGACUCUGUUGCUGGUUCUCUGAUUUCGAGCGCUAAACUUCAUCCCUCAACUUUCUGAUCUAUAUUUGUUCUAUCCUCAUUGUUUUAGUGCUACUAGGUAUGAUCAAAACCUUCUGUAAUACUCCAUUGAUUUUCAUGAAUGGGGAUCCGAGUUGUUCAGAUCCAUAUGUAUAAUUAGUUUCAUAGAUGCACCAUUAGAUUUGCCUAUAGUUUCUUCUAUGUUAGCUUAUUGUUUUGAUUGUUUUUUAUUAAAUGCUUAAACUAAAAUCAUUCGCUAAUCAAGCCUAGCAACUGCUCAAUGCUUUGUGAUGAUUAGCUUCUCGUGAAUUCAUCAAUAGAACUGCCUAUAAUCGCUUCUUUGUUAGCCAUCGAUUCUGAUUGUUUAAGCUGAAGCAGGUCAUUAAUUAGUAUAUCCUAAUUGCAGAUUGCUGAAGCAUGAUGAUUCUGGAAGCAGUAAUGAAUAGUUAAUUUUAGAAUUCGGACUAGUUUAACUCAUUGUAACAUUGUUUCACAUAGCAUAGGUCAUUAAAGUCGCUUUUAUUAUAAAUUCAACUUAGAAUCCCUGAUGUAAUAAAUUGUUGCUGUAAUUUUGAACUCAGAUAGCCAUAUGCUUGAUAUUUAAAAUAUUUUUUUUUUUUACUCUUGUGAUGACAUAUGAAAAUUGUACAGAACUAGCUAUUGGACAUUUGGGCCUCCAUUUCCGAAAAUGUUGGGGCCAACGAGGUUGUACCAUUAGUUUGAUAUCUCAAAAAAAAACUAUGUAUCUCGUUUGUAUAUGGGUUCAAUUCCAGGCCCAUUUGGAUGCUUGUCAUGCCGCCUAAGUUGAAAAGCCGCUCCGGAAAGGCCAAACGCUAUGGGCCUCGCUCCAGGCCCAAGCGCUUGCAUUCGACCUCAUUGGAGGUCUCAACUUGGGCCUGGGGUCACAUGUAAACCGGGAGAAAUUUAAAAAUAG